CUAGGCACUUGCCUGUGGUGCCAUCGUCCCAGGGGCGCCAUUGUCCUGGGAGGAGGGCACCACUCUCCACUUCCUUCUCUUUUGGGGCUUCCGGCAGCCACGCUGGCCUCCCGGUGCCCGUGCUGGGCUUUCCGGCCGGCGCAGACCCACCUUCGCACCAUGGGAGCCCACCUUUGGGGCCUUCAGAGAUUGUGAGGUCUGUGGGAACUUGGAAGCUAGGUAUGUGGGGGUUUAUAUAUCUGUAGAAGGUCCAGGGUGGGAGAAAGAACUUUUCUUUGAAGCAGGAGUGAAUGUUGUAAUUAAUCACCUUGAUUAGCAUUUAAUGGCCCUGUGGCUUCAAGGCCUGGCUUCAUCUUGCCUGGGAGAAUCUUUUUUUGGGAGGUGUUAGCUGUCCCUGAUUGUUUACUGUCUGGAUUUCUUCUGUUUUCAGAGUGUUGUUCUUUAUUUAUUGUCCUGAUUUUAGAGUUUUUUUUAAUACUGAGGGCUAUCUGGGUUAUCUAAGUCCACACUGCCCUAUAUCCCUGUUCAAUGUUUAGUGCUAAAUUCGCAAAUAUAGUAAUUCCUACAUAACAUUACCAUGUAUUGAACUGCUUUUUCUAUUGAUUUGUUGUAAAACAUAAUGUUUUGGUGCUUAAUUUGUAAAAUCAUAAUGUAAUUUGAUGUUUAAUAGGCUUUUCCUUUAUCUUUCCUUAUUAUCCAACAUUUUCGCUUAUCCAACGCUUUUAUUUUUCAGUGAUUGGUAUGGGGGAGGGGGGGCACCAAAAUUCUGUUCGCCUACACUUGAAAAAUACCUAGGGCCGGCUCUGGCUAAGGACGGCAGCUUAUGGUCACUCAGGGGAAAGGCUGAGAAUAUAAGCUGACCGGGAGUUUAGUAUACUGUUUUGAAGAGAAGUUAUUUAAGAAAUAUCCAUUCAAGAAAGACUACAUUGUAACUUAAGAUCCUGUUUAUGUAUUGGAACCAUACGCUUAUGUACAAAUAAAGAUUGAAUUUUGUUAUUGUUCACAAAGAUCAAUCUCCUUGCCUCUCUGUAAGCCUGUUACCUCACGUUGGUGGCAGUUACCGUACCUAUCUAUAUAAGUUACCGUACUUUUCUAUAUAAGUUACCAUCUUUACUCAUUUAAACCCAAUCAGUUCCGUUAUCCUUCCUUAUCCACUAAAUCAUCCCUGUCAUACAUUCACACAUCCUCCAUCCCUCCCUCUCACACGCGCGCACAUCUCCUGAAUUGGAGGCAGCAGUGGGAUUUUAAAAAGGAUUUCCCCUGCCUGAGUUGAGUACCACAAAUUGGGCUCUCCUCAACAUGCCACUACAAAAAUAUAUUUGGUUAGCAGAAGAUGGUUGUUUCUUUGAAGUUGAAAUUGUACCUGCAGUUGUAAUUGCCCAAAAGAUACACACUCCCUUGAAACCUCUAAGUUCAAAACAUGCACUCUGAGAUAAAAAAACAAAGUCUUCCUUGAAAAAUAACAUAUCUUGUUUAUUUACAAACAUGUAUUAAUUCACCAUGCAGGCACAUUUCUUAUUAAAGUUCACUUAUAGAUAGGAUAUAGUUCUUUGUGUGUUGAGUACACAGGAUAUCAUUUUAACGAUAUGUUGAUUUUAACGAUUGUUUUUACUGUAAUUGAUGUUUUUAUUGGAUAACUGUUUUAUUGCUGUGUUUUGAUAUUUGAUUGUUUUAUCGGGCAAGGCCCCAUGUAAGCCGCCCCGAGUCCCUUCGGGGAGAUGGGGCGGGGUAUAAAAAUAAAGUUAUUAUUAUUAUUAUUAUUAUUAUUAUUAUUAUUAUUAUCAUUCUUAAUCAAUAGUCCAUAGUCUUUAGGAAUAGUUGUACUCACUGAAGUCCAUAAGUCAUACUUCUCUACUGAAGUCCAAACAGCAACAUGCAUCCACCUCCACUGAGAUGUAAAGCAAAUCGAAUACUAAAUGGAGUCCUGAGUCUGAACAUGCUCAGUACAAUCACACGUCUAUAACUCCUCCCACACCAAAGAGGUACAGUCAAACUGGCAUAGCAACAUACCCAUGGAAUAUAGGUUAGCAAAUAUAUACAUUAACAAAUAAAUAGUGAGACGCUUGGGAGGUUGCUACUUCCAACAUGCCAAAAUCAGGCCCAUGCCAUAAUAUUUCUUAUUUCUAAGUACAGCUGAGAAAGCUCACCAUUGAAAAAUCAACUAAUUUGUUUAAAAAAUAGUGCUGGUGGACAGCACUAUGGAUAUCAUGGAUUGCCAAAAAGAGAAAUGAAUAGUUCCUAAAGCAAAUCAAACACUACUUCUUUAGAAGUGAAAAUGACCCAAGUGAAGCUGUCAUAUUUUGGACAUAUUGUGGCUCAUUAGAAAAGAUAGUAAACACCCUGAGUUUGUAGGAUGUCAGCAAGGCAUUUUUGUGGGUCUUAGGAUGGAUUUACACUAUCAUAUUAUGCAGUUUCAGAAUGCAAAUAAACUGGAUUGCACUGGAUUAUAUGGCAGUGCAGACUCAUAUAAUCCAGUAAAACAUAGUUAAUCUUUAUUUAUUAUUAUUAUUAUUAUUAUUAUUAUUAUUAUUAUUAUUAUUAUUAUUAUUAUUAUUAUUAUGAAACUGCAUUAGAUGGCAGUACAGAUCCAACUUUAGGCAACUUUCAUUCUAAGUGAAAAACCCCAGAGUUGUAUGGCUGAAAUACAAAACAUGUGUCUCCUCAUAU
RNAcentral lists this long non-coding RNA (2667 nucleotides) under Anolis carolinensis (green anole). RNAcentral describes it as "lncRNA (ENSACAG00000040712.1)". Lineage: Eukaryota; Metazoa; Chordata; Lepidosauria; Squamata; Anolidae. The record is from RNAcentral.